This is a long non-coding RNA of Bubalus bubalis (water buffalo), 1911 nucleotides long. RefSeq lists it as uncharacterized. The transcript has 4 exons. NCBI's taxonomy places the organism in Eukaryota, Metazoa, Chordata, Mammalia, Artiodactyla, Bovidae. The record is from RefSeq and is a predicted model, not a curated record.
GGAAAGUGGUAAAAAUGAGUUCAGGUUUUCAGGUGUCCAAAAAAGGAAACUCAAGAGGCAGGGCCUAGGGGGCUGAGAGAGGCUGCAGAGAAGUUAAAAAACUUUCCAGAAAAAUCGGCAGCCUGGAAGCUGGUGUGUCUUGGUAACCCAGCACUGAGAAAAAUCGGCAGCCUGGAAGCUGGUGUGUCUUGGUAACCCAGCACUGAAGUUGCUCAAGCCGAGGGCAUCUGCACCGUCCCACGGGGUCUGGGUGACCAGCACCUCCGAGGGCGCCGAGGCACACGGUGGAUCGCUGUGCUCUGCGAAGCGCAGUCCCGGCCCCCAGCAGCCCGGCGUCCACGUGCAGACUGCGGGCGCGGAGGAUCGCAUCAUGCUUCCCCGCCCCGCCCCGCCCUCUGCCCGGCUGAGCCGGGACCCUGGCGCCGCGCACCCAUCACUUCUGUGAACCGCGGCGGGGUCCCCGGCGGCCACACAUUCGUUUAGGGUAGGGUUGCCUCUCCUCUGACAGGCACGUGCGCGUGCACAGUGCGAACUCAAGCCGUAAUUCUUCAUUUUUCACUUGUAUUCGACAAAGACUCCAUUACCACCUCUGCUCGCCCCGGGGGCGGUGGCCGCAGGAGAAGCGCGCGGUGCGGGCCUGGUAGCUCCCCCCACCGUCAAGAGGGCUGCGCGUGCGCAGAGUGGCCUGGCCGCCCGGAGGAGGCGCCUGCAGACCGUGCCCUCCCGGGCUGCUCCAGUACAUUAAAGCGUUCUUUGUGAACGGGGGUUCGCGAGAGCUGCAGGGAACACCUCAGGGGUAGUCAGCUUCUGCAGCAAAGUCUGGAACCAUCCGCCAGGAAUGGCUAGCCAGCACGUGAAGGACUCAGACCCACACAGCAGUAAUCAGUUUAAACCUCAUCACCUGAAUCAAACCAGGGGGCUUGUGAAUUAAUAGCUAAGACAUUUUGAAAUUGUUUUUCUUAGUAAUAUUAGAGAGAUUGAAGACAUGUGGUCGACUUGAGAAACAAACUGAACCAUCCUUGGGAGGGGGGGUGGUGCUGUACCUGCAUCCAGCAAGGAGUUUGGACCUUGGGUCUGGGGUUCCACUUGAUCCUGUGUCCCCAUCGCUCAGGGAAGCCCUGGCAGCUAUGCCCCCUGGAGCAGCUGCCUGCACCCCUUGAACGGGGUUCUCCUUGGAGUGACCGAGGACGGGGAGCAGGUAGGGUCACAGGAUGCUAUGAACCUGGGACCAAAGAAAAGUUACACGUGCAGCAGAAUCCCACCACCUGGGCCUUCAUCAGUCAUCCCACUUGGGAGCGGGAUUUGGGGAGUGAAGGACAGACAGCCCAUCUGCGUCCAGCAGGAGGAGGCCCCCUGACGGUUAUAAACGAAUGGACCAGUGCUGAAUGAAGCCACUGGAAGACAGGUGCAGCCCGUGGGAGAAGUGAAAGCAUGUCUGAAGAGUUUUGGUUCUAAUUAUUAAGUGUCUGACACUCUACUAUCUUACGUCCGGUGAGCGUUAGCAGAUUUCUGAGAUCCUUCUGCAUACAGUGUCUCUUUUCACUGUCAGAACCAGCGCAAGGGACCUCGGCCGCAUUCACUUCUACACAGACAAGGAAUCUGAACCCAAAGAUCUCCCUUGACCCCUUAAAGUUGAGUGCAGAAUGCCAUUCUCAAACUAGCACCCAGGUACAGCAGAAGAUCUAAGAAGGUUGGAGUUACGUUUUGUCUCUGCUACACCUCCAGAGCCUAAUACAGAGGCGGAUACAUUUUUCUUCUAUUAGAUACAAAGGAAUGUAUAAGGACUUGUUGCAUCUUAGAGCAAGAACACAUCCCACUGUGGAACUCCUUGAUAUACAUUUGUGGGGUGAACAACCCACCAGGUUCCUCUAUCCAUGGAUUCUCCAGGCAAGAAUACUGAAGUGGAUUGCC